RNAcentral lists this unclassified non-coding RNA (231 nucleotides) under uncultured Tuber. RNAcentral describes it as "partial contains 5.8S ribosomal RNA, internal transcribed spacer 2, and large subunit ribosomal RNA". The record is from RNAcentral. Lineage: Eukaryota; Fungi; Ascomycota; Pezizomycetes; Pezizales; Tuberaceae.
AACGCACAUUGCGCCCCUUGGUAUUCCUCGGGGCACGCCUGUUCGAGCGCCGUUUCAAACUUAAGGCUCUGCCUUGCGUUGGCGCCAUCCGCUCAGCGGAUGCGUUGAAACUCCUCGGGCGCCUCUCUGAUCUCGGCAGCGUAGCAAGUCUUCCGCUGUUGGGUCCCAGCAAAGGUCGCCGGUACUCACGAGUUUGGCCUCGAAUCAGGCGGGGAUACCCGCUGAACUUAA